Molecule: transfer RNA, 86 nt
Filed under: Rhodoferax antarcticus ANT.BR
Lineage: Bacteria; Pseudomonadati; Pseudomonadota; Betaproteobacteria; Burkholderiales; Comamonadaceae
Rfam family: tRNA
About the family: Transfer RNA (tRNA) molecules are approximately 80 nucleotides in length.
Source: Rfam by way of RNAcentral
UUCCGAAUGGUGGAAUGGGCAGACACACCGGGUUUAAAACCCGAUGCCAUUAAGUUGGCGUUCCAGUUCGAUCCUGGAUUCGGAAA